RNAcentral lists this ribosomal RNA (240 nucleotides) under uncultured bacterium. RNAcentral describes it as "partial 16S ribosomal RNA". It matches the Rfam family "Bacterial small subunit ribosomal RNA", at positions 95 to 334 of the family's 1533-position model. The record is from RNAcentral.
CCGGCAAACGGGUGCGGAACACGUACAGAACCUUCCUUUAAGCGGGGGAUAGCCCGGAGAAAUCCGGAUUAAUACCCCAUAUUAUUAUUUGGUGGCAUCACCGGGUAAUUAAAGAUUUAUCACUUAGAGAUGGCUGUGCGGCUGAUUAGGUAGUUGGUGUGGGUAACGGCUCACCAAGCCUUCGAUCAGUAACGGGUGUGAGAGCACGACCAGUCACACGGGCACUGAGACACGGGCCCG